AUUGAACGCUGGCGGCAGGCCUAACACAUGCAAGUCGAGCGGAUGAAGGGAGCUUGCUCCUGGAUUCAGCGGCGGACGGGUGAGUAAUGCCUAGGAAUCUGCCUGGUAGUGGGGGAUAACGGCCGGAAACGGGGGCUAAUACCGCAUACGUCCAGAGGGAGAAAGGGGGGGAUCUUGGGACCUCACGAUAUCAGAUGAGCCUAGGGCGGAUUAGCUAGUUGGUGGGGUAAAGGCCUACCAAGGCGACGAUCCGUAACUGGUCUGAGAGGAUGAUCAGUCACACUGGAACUGAGACACGGUCCAGACUCCUACGGGAGGCAGCAGUGGGGAAUAUUGGACAAUGGGCGAAAGCCUGAUCCAGCCAUGCCGCGUGUGUGAAGAAGGUCUUCGGAUUGUAAAGCACUUUUAGUUGGGAGGAAGGGCAGUAAGUUAAUACCUUGCUGUUUUGACGUUACCCACAGAAUAAGCACCGGCUAACUUCGUG
This 484-nucleotide ribosomal RNA is filed under the name uncultured bacterium. RNAcentral's name for it is "partial 16S ribosomal RNA". It matches the Rfam family "Bacterial small subunit ribosomal RNA", at positions 30 to 507 of the family's 1533-position model. The record is from RNAcentral.